RNAcentral lists this ribosomal RNA (374 nucleotides) under uncultured bacterium. RNAcentral describes it as "bacterial SSU rRNA". It matches the Rfam family "Bacterial small subunit ribosomal RNA", at positions 524 to 898 of the family's 1533-position model. The record is from RNAcentral.
UACGUAGGAUGCAAGCGUUGUCCGGAUUUACUGGGUGUAAAGGGUGCGCAGGCGGAGAAGUAAGUCAGAGGUGAAAGCCUACAGCUCAACUGUAGAACUGCCUUUGAUACUGCUUCCCUUGAGUAUGGUAGAGGUCGGCGGAAUUCCCGGUGUAGCAGUGAAAUGCGUAGAUAUCGGGAGGAACACCAGUGGCGAAGGCGGCCGGCUGGACCAUAACUGACGCUCAUGCACGAAAGUGUGGGGAUCAAACAGGAUUAGAUACCCUGGUAGUCCACACUGUAAACGAUGUAUGCUUGGUGUUGGCUUCGUAGGAAGUCAGUGCCGGAGGUAACCUGUUAAGCAUACCACCUGGGGAGUACGAUCGCAAGGUUGAA